Long non-coding RNA from Monodelphis domestica (gray short-tailed opossum), 1775 nucleotides. Lineage: Eukaryota; Metazoa; Chordata; Mammalia; Didelphimorphia; Didelphidae. The record is from Ensembl.
UAGAUAGAUAGAUACACAGACAGAUAGAUAGAUGGAUAGAUGGAUAGAUAGAUAGAUAGAUAGAUAGAUAGAUAGAUAGAUAGAUAGAUGGAUAGAUAGAUAGAUAGAUAGAUAGAUGGAUAGAUGGAUAGAUAGAUAGAUAGAUAGAUAGAUAGAUAGAUAGAUAGAUAGAUAGAUGGAUGGAUAGAUAGAUAGAUAGAUAGAUAGAUAGAUAGAUAGAUAGAUAGAUAGAUAGAUGGAUAGAUAGAUAGAGAUAUAUAGAUAUAUACACUGUAGAAGCAAGUGGCUGAGCAGACAUAAUGGGAUAAAGAAGGUAUAGCCCUGGAGGAUUUGGAUUUGUUGUUUACUUUGUAAGUCAUUGUUAUAUAAUGGAAAUUGUCUAUUGGACUGGGUAACUAGUAAUCAGGUAUCUGGGAAUUGGAGUUCGUUCCACUCCACUCACACUUCCACUAUCACCUGGAAGUAUCAUUGGGAUCCUACUUGUAUCAGGAGACUUUUUCUGAGGAAUAAAUGGCUCUACUUCGACCUUCUGGCCCCUAGGGCAGCUCGGUCCAUGACGCUGCUCUCAGUCAGCAGGAAGAACGCUCAGGGCCAUUUCCCUCAUGGCCCCGCCCAGGAAAUGAUAGUGAUCCACAUCCGCCCGCCCCUCUCGAUCAAAUCCAGACACAAGAGUCUGGCUACACUUCUGACUGUGGCCUUCCCCAUUCCAGAGAUGAUAGAGAAGGAGAUGAUGUAGGGGAGCAUGGAGAGGAGGAGAACUGGGUGGAGCAAGGUUGGAGGAGUGAACUACAACUGCUCUGUCACCAAAAAAUCUUCUGAGACAAAUAUUAAAAUGUCACCACAAAACAAAUACAGGAGUGAAAGAACCAGCAAAGAGACAGAUCAAAACAAAUUUCAAGAAAAGAAAAUAACCAAAAGAAUGGAGCAUAUGAAAAUUCAUCUUCAGGGAAAACCAGAACUGUCAGAGGUUCCUGCCUACUUGGUAAUGGUCAUACAGUUUGAGAAUUUCUUACAAUGUUUCUCCAAGAAUUAAAGAUAGAAUUAUUCCAUGAGGUCAAUUUACAGAGCUGACAAUUCUUCCAUUAAAUAGAUUCCCCAAACCAGUUUUUACAUUCACGGGGGGAAAUUGCUGCUAAUGAUGGAAUUUAAUAUAUUCUCCAGUCACCUAAAUCUGAAGCCAGAAAAGUUUGAUUAUGUAUGUAUUCCCUUUUUGUGAAAAGAAAGGAUGCCAAUUAUUUGGUCUUUGUAAAUAAGGACACCGUGGUGGCAAAUGAUACACAUUUGGGUAUUCUGUAGAGGUAGGAAUGAAUAUGAGAAGACAGUAGGUAUGUUGACAUAUUAGACUAAUAGCAUCUUGAAAGCAAAGACUUUUCCCCUUUUCUAUGUAUCCUCAUUACUUGGCAUAAUGCUUAGCAGAUAGUAAGCACUAAAUCCUGCUUUGAUAACUGACUGAUUUAUACACAGGGGAGUGUUGCUAAAUGUAUAACAAUAGAAUCUCUAGAGAAAAAAAAGUAUGUUUGAUAAACAUUUAAUCUUAAUUUCCAUCAUUAACAUUUUUGCCAUUAAAUUCUAGGUAAUCAAUAAGACAGUAAAUCAUAUCCUCUCUUGUACCACUUGUCAAAUUUUGUACUUGACCUUACUGCUAUCAAAGAUCAUGCUUUUUUUUUUAGUUUGGUUAUUGUUUUUCUGUACUCCUUGCAUAAAUCUAGGCAUUUCCCUCUAUUUUUCCUUUUGUCCUAUCCCCCUUCAUUCAAUAAAGAAUUUAGCUUCCUUCA